GACGAACCGUACGAACGUUAUUCGGAAUUACUGGGCGUAAAGGGCGCGUAGGCGGUUCGUUAAGUCCUGUGUGAAAUCCCCCGGCUCAACUGGGGAACUGCACAGGAAACUAGCGGGCUUGAGUUCGGGAGAGGGAAGCGGAAUUCCGGGUGUAGCGGUGAAAUGCGUAGAUAUCCGGAGGAACACCGGUGGCGAAGGCGGCUUCCUGGACCGACACUGACGCUGAGGCGCGAAAGCUAGGGGAGCAAACAGG
This 253-nucleotide ribosomal RNA is filed under the name uncultured bacterium. RNAcentral's name for it is "partial 16S ribosomal RNA". It matches the Rfam family "Bacterial small subunit ribosomal RNA", at positions 524 to 776 of the family's 1533-position model. The record is from RNAcentral.